Molecule: ribosomal RNA, 510 nt
Filed under: uncultured bacterium
Lineage: Bacteria
Description: partial 16S ribosomal RNA
Rfam family: Bacterial small subunit ribosomal RNA
Source: RNAcentral
GACGAACGCUGGCGGCGUGCUUAACACAUGCAAGUCGAACGAAGAGCGAUGGAAGCUUGCUUCUAUCAAUCUUAGUGGCGAACGGGUGAGUAACGCGUAAUCAACCUGCCCUUCAGAGGGGGACAACAGUUGGAAACGACUGCUAAUACCGCAUACGAUCUAAUCUCGGCAUCGAGGAUAGAUGAAAGGUGGCCUCUACAUGUAAGCUAUCACUGAAGGAGGGGAUUGCGUCUGAUUAGCUAGUUGGAGGGGUAACGGCCCACCAAGGCGAUGAUCAGUAGCCGGUCUGAGAGGAUGAACGGCCACAUUGGAACUGAGACACGGCCCAGACUCCUACGGGAGGCAGCAGUGGGGAAUCUUCCGCAAUGGACGAAAGUCUGACGGAGCAACGCCGCGUGAGUGAUGACGGCCUUCGGGUUGUAAAGCUCUGUUAAUCGGGACGAAAGGCCUUCUUGCGAAUAGUGAGAAGGAUUGACGGUACCGGAAUAGAAAGCCACGGCUAACUACGUG